This 600-nucleotide long non-coding RNA is filed under the name Elaeis guineensis (African oil palm). RNAcentral's name for it is "long non-coding RNA (EGUI_LNC048094)". Lineage: Eukaryota; Viridiplantae; Streptophyta; Magnoliopsida; Arecales; Arecaceae. The record is from RNAcentral.
CCUUUGUUCUCAGGUGGAUUUUCUUGAUCAUCCUUUCUCACCCAUCUAUAUCUCCUUUCUUUUUUUUUAUUUUUCUAGACUGCUCUUUUAGCUUCUUCAUUUUGAUUUAAAUGGUGGGUUCUGGUGAUUUUGCGGGAGACCGAUCUUCUCUGAUGGUGAACCUUGAAAAUUCGAUCGAAGAAUAGAGUGAGGUUGGGUCUGACACUCUUAGCUUCAUACUAAACUCGAACGACAUGAGUCAGAUAUGAAUUUGGUAUAGAGUACCACCGAAGUUUGACUUAGAGCUCCCUAGGGUUGGUGAUCGGAUGAAUGAUCCACCUCCUAGUCGACUCGACGUGUAUGAAGAAGCGAUCAGAGCAGGCUUGAGAUUCCCUCUUCCCCCUCUUAUCCUUGACAUCUUCAGCUCCUAUGGCCUUUCCCUCUAUGCGGUUGUCCUGAAUUUCUUUAGAUUUAUAGUGGAUUUUUUAGUCAUCUAUGUUUUGGCCAAUGUUCAGCCAUCUAUCUCUCUUUUUUGUUCUUUCUUCACCAUCAAGAAGCACUCUUAUACUAAGAACUAGUGGUACAUCUCUUUCUAGAGGGAGACUGUCCUCUAAUGAAGGG